Molecule: ribosomal RNA, 119 nt
Filed under: Pteropus alecto (black flying fox)
Lineage: Eukaryota; Metazoa; Chordata; Mammalia; Chiroptera; Pteropodidae
Source: RNAcentral
GUCUAUGGCUGUGCUACUCUGAACAAUCCUGAUCCCAGCUGAUCCUGGAAGCUAAGCAGGGUCAGGCCUUGUUAGUACUUGGAUGGGAGACCAGCUAGGAAGACCAGGUGCUAUAGGUG